ACCCAUAGGUCUAAUGGUAAGGCGUUUGCUGCGAAGCCAGAAGGUCCUGGGUUCGGUCCCCGAGAGGGUA
Molecule: transfer RNA, 70 nt
Filed under: Schistosoma japonicum
Lineage: Eukaryota; Metazoa; Platyhelminthes; Trematoda; Strigeidida; Schistosomatidae
Description: tRNA-OTHER
Source: RNAcentral